Drosophila miranda is the source of this 801-nucleotide long non-coding RNA. RefSeq lists it as uncharacterized. Lineage: Eukaryota; Metazoa; Arthropoda; Insecta; Diptera; Drosophilidae. The record is from RefSeq and is a predicted model, not a curated record. The transcript has 2 exons.
GCGUCUGCGUGACCUGCACGACGAUCGAGGAUCGCACGACCGCUGCUGGAUGGGAUCGAUCUUCUUCGGCUUUUCUUCGGCCGCUGCAGAACGAUCGGAAGACGUGAAAAGUGUGACCAAACAAGAACAGACAGAAAAGACCGGAAAAGUGUGUGAAGAAAAUUAAUUACAGUACAUUGAAAGAUGGUGACUUGAAUGCUUAAGAGCUACGACAUGAUCGAAUGCUGCCUGCCUGCCCGCCGAUCGAGGAGGCACAACUGUGCUGUGGACGGUAGAUCCCUAACUUGAUUCGAUUUCCUUAAUGGAUUGCGAAGGCGGCGGCGGCCGGCAGCCCCAAAAGGAGUUGCAGCAGCAGCAGCACCAGCAGGAGGAGAUGUGGUGGCGGUCAGCAGUUGGCCGUCGCCAGAAGUUGCCGACGCGCGCUCCCCAGCCGCACAAUGUGUGUGUGCCCCGCGGGCUUUAAGAAAUGCCGAAUUCCAGAAGCCGCAGUACAAUCAGUUGAAUUAAAAAACGAGCGCACAGACAGAAGAGGACGUGGAUGUGGCUGUAGAUGUGGCUGUGUCCAGGGCCUGGACCUGGGACCUGAGGUCUGGUUCUGGAUCUGAAGCCGGCGACGAUAUCAUCGCGUGGAGAGCGCGCGCAGAAGCUGCUGCCGUUGGGGGCUAGGAAAUUAAGAGGACAUUGUGGCGGCAUGCGGUUAGAACUUGCAGCGGCGGCUUAAACACAAAAUCCGCCAAGACACACACACACGCACACAGAGAGAGAGAGAGAGAGAGAGAGAGAGAGAGAGAGAGAGAGAGA